AGUGAACGCUGGCGGUAGGCCUAACACAUGCAAGUCGAACGGCAGCACAGAAAGAGCUUGCUCUUACGGGUGGCGAGUGGCGGACGGGUGAGGAAUACAUCGGAAUCUACUUUUUCGUGGGGGAUAACGUAGGGAAACUUACGCUAAUACCGCAUACGACCUACGGGUGAAAGCAGGGGAUCUUCGGACCUUGCGCGAUUGAAUGAGCCGAUGUCGGAUUAGCUAGUUGGCGGGGUAAAGGCCCACCAAGGCGACGAUCCGUAGCUGGUCUGAGAGGAUGAUCAGCCACACUGGAACUGAGACACGGUCCAGACUCCUACGGGAGGCAGCAGUGGGGAAUAUUGGACAAUGGGCGCAAGCCUGAUCCAGCCAUACCGCGUGGGUGAAGAAGGCCUUCGGGUUGUAAAGCCCUUUUGUUGGGAAAGAAAAGCAGCAGGUUAACACCCCGCUGUUCUGACGGUACCCAAAGAAUAAGCACCGGCUAACUUCGUG
Molecule: ribosomal RNA, 492 nt
Filed under: uncultured bacterium
Lineage: Bacteria
Description: partial 16S ribosomal RNA
Rfam family: Bacterial small subunit ribosomal RNA
Source: RNAcentral